GUGAACCAUCGAGUCUUUGAACGCAAGUUGCGCCCGAAGCCUCGGCUGAGGGCACGUCUGCCUGGGUGUCACACAUCGCGUUGCCUCCAGAUCCUUCACCCCUCGACCGUUGCGGUGAUGAUCCGGAUGCGGAAGCUGGCCUCCCGUGACCGCGCGUCACG
Molecule: ribosomal RNA, 161 nt
Filed under: Terminalia bellirica (bibhitaki)
Lineage: Eukaryota; Viridiplantae; Streptophyta; Magnoliopsida; Myrtales; Combretaceae
Description: 5.8S ribosomal RNA
Rfam family: 5.8S ribosomal RNA (bases 1-71)
Source: RNAcentral